GGUUGUGAGGAUGAUCUUGCUGCAACACCUGUCACCCCACUGAUCACCAGGGUUGAUUCGGUUGAUCUGGCUAGGUGGGUGUCCCCUUCCUCCCUCACCAUUCCACAUGCAUUCCUCCCAAAGCUGUGCACUCAGUCGAAGAGGACGACCAUCCCCAACGGAGGAGGACCAUUCUUUGGUCUAGGAUAUACAAGAGGCUGAGCUCUCCUGCUAGAACCUCUAAACAAGCUCUGAAGAUGAGCCUUAACUGAGCAGUAACUGCCGCAAAACGAACUUCAAACAGUUUAAGGAACAGAAAUUGCUAAGUCAGGCUUUCCUUCUUU
RNAcentral lists this small nuclear RNA (323 nucleotides) under Castor canadensis (American beaver). Its description in RNAcentral is "7SK RNA (ENSCCNG00000019980.1)". It matches the Rfam family "7SK RNA". Rfam says of the family: 7SK was discovered as an abundant small nuclear RNA in the mid-70s but a possible function has only recently been suggested. The record is from Rfam by way of RNAcentral. Lineage: Eukaryota; Metazoa; Chordata; Mammalia; Rodentia; Castoridae.